CGAAUACUUGAAGCCCUUACCUAAUAUAAACCCUAUAUAUAUAAAGCUUAUCACAUUCCUUGCCUCUUGACUUGCAUUUCAUUUGUUUGAAAGACAAAUACCUUUUUUUUCUCUCUCCUAUCUUCUUUCUAAUCUCUUUCUUCCAUUAAACGUUUGAAUCCCUCCACACUCUGUGCAUACUCGGUUGAAGCUCGAAAAAUUUCUCCUUUAAGUCACCUCCACCUCCACGUCCUCAACUCAAUCCUUGUGACAAAAGGAAAGAACAACAAUUUACAGAGAACGCAUAUGAAGGAUUUUGAGAAGUUAAAAUUUGUUGUAAAUUUAAGUUUCAAAUCCUUUUAAUUUGAAGUUUUGGCUGAAAAUUUAAGACGUUUAUUUUCACUUGUGAUUUACAGAUUUAUCUAAGUUGAAAUGCAACUUGUAUU
Molecule: long non-coding RNA, 425 nt
Organism: Chenopodium quinoa (quinoa)
Lineage: Eukaryota; Viridiplantae; Streptophyta; Magnoliopsida; Caryophyllales; Amaranthaceae
Exons: 2
Source: RefSeq, a predicted model, not a curated record